Molecule: non-coding RNA, 864 nt
Organism: Myripristis murdjan (pinecone soldierfish)
Lineage: Eukaryota; Metazoa; Chordata; Actinopteri; Holocentriformes; Holocentridae
Source: the annotation of a RefSeq genome assembly
AUCAUAUUUACUUUAUUCAUUAUAGCUCCUUUUUUUCUGCACAACUUUGCCAACCAGCUAACUCGUACGUUCGUUGACUCCGCCCACUGAGGUUUAACUGGAUUGAUGUGUUUAUUUGUGACUCUUACAAAUACUUAACUAAAACCACAGUCUGUGUACAUUUUGCUGGGAAGGCCUGAACAUCACGAGCUUGUGAUGUUAGUGUCCUUUUAUUUCACACCAUGUUGUGAAUCGUCUGAGCCGUCCUACUACAGGCUGAGUGGACAAGAUGAAAAAGGGAAAAACAUCUCGGCCUGCCUGGCCAGCGACUUCAGCGACUUCAACACCACUAGAGACAGUGUGCUGUUCAAUGGGACGGAGGCGACCCGGAUGGAGGGAGACCGUUUCUACAGCCAGGUGGCGCUGUACAAGCCAGAGGACGGGCAGGAUUGCCCGGAAACAUCUGGACCCGGCUGUGGCGGUGGACUCUUCAGCCCAGACGUGGGGGUGAACACCGUGUCCUUCAUCGUGCUCGGCCUCAGGCUCCUCCUCCUGAAGACCAUCGUCUUCAACGUCCUGAUGACCCUGCGGCUUUGGAUCAGUUAGAACGCAGCAGGACGCCGCAGCGUCGGGACGUCGGGACGUCCUGCAGCCUGUCGGACGCUCCCCGUGUGCCAGAGCCCGGCUCGGGCUUUAAAUCAUGAAUGAGUUUUCUAUUUGUUCUUUGUUUUUUUUUGAUCAUUUUAUCAUUUUAUCAUUGGAUCAUUUCCACUGCAGUGUCUCUGUCCUGUAAAUAUCCCGGCUCCAUGUCCCCGUCCCGUCCCUCAUGUGUCUCUCAGCGCUCUGGAAAAUUCUGAAAACAUCAAUAAAGGAAAAGAAAACUGA